UACGUAGGGUGCGAGCGUUAAUCGGAAUUACGGGGCGUAAAGUGUGCGCAGGUGGCCGCGCAAGUCGAGUGUGAAAUCCCCGAGCUUAACUUGGGAAUUGCGCUCGAAACUACGUGGCUCGAGUGUGGCAGAGGAAGGUGGAAUUCCACGUGUAGCGGUGAAAUGCGUAGAGAUGUGGAGGAACACCGAUGGCGAAGGCAGCCUUCUGGGCCAACACUGACGCUCAUGCACGAAAGCGUGGGGAGCAAACAGG
RNAcentral lists this ribosomal RNA (253 nucleotides) under uncultured bacterium. Its description in RNAcentral is "partial 16S ribosomal RNA". It matches the Rfam family "Bacterial small subunit ribosomal RNA", at positions 524 to 776 of the family's 1533-position model. The record is from RNAcentral.